UCUCAAAUUUUCUGCAUCUAUUAUAUUUUCUUUGCAUCCAAACACUCCUUAUUCCUUCAAUUUUGUAAGAAAAUCACUCUUCUCUAAUUUCUCACCUAAAUUUAGCUUGUUUUUGCUCAAUUGGUACAAAUUCAUGGAGGUUUUUGAGUUAAAGCUAAAAACGUUGGUGGAGCCUCAACAAACAGGGAUAAAGGCAAGCGAAAAGUUGUCUAGUUCAACGCGUCGUGGUGAGCUAUAGGUAAAUAGUUCCCGAGUUAGUGAGGAGGGUGGCAAACGGUGAUCCAUCGCAUGCCAUUUUCUUUGAGUAUGUGUGUUGAGCUUUUAAUCUCUGAAGUGAAGGCAAUGUGGGUCGUUCCAAGGGUGUAGUACUUGAAUUAGACUUAAACUUUUAAAUAAAAUUUUCAAUGUGUUG
Molecule: long non-coding RNA, 412 nt
Organism: Gossypium raimondii (Peruvian cotton)
Lineage: Eukaryota; Viridiplantae; Streptophyta; Magnoliopsida; Malvales; Malvaceae
Exons: 3
Source: RefSeq, a predicted model, not a curated record